Molecule: transfer RNA, 76 nt
Filed under: Opitutus sp.
Lineage: Bacteria; Pseudomonadati; Verrucomicrobiota; Opitutia; Opitutales; Opitutaceae
Also listed under: 3 other names
Description: tRNA-Phe
Rfam family: tRNA
About the family: Transfer RNA (tRNA) molecules are approximately 80 nucleotides in length. Their secondary structure includes four short double-helical elements and three loops (D, anti-codon, and T loops).
Source: RNAcentral
GGCUCGGUAGCUCAGUUGGUAGAGCAGAGGACUGAAAAUCCUUGUGUCACCGGUUCGAUUCCGGUCUGAGCCACCA